This 534-nucleotide ribosomal RNA is filed under the name uncultured bacterium. RNAcentral's name for it is "bacterial SSU rRNA". It matches the Rfam family "Bacterial small subunit ribosomal RNA", at positions 537 to 1069 of the family's 1533-position model. The record is from RNAcentral.
AGCGUUGUCCGGAUUAUUGGGCGUAAAGCGCGCGCAGGCGGAUUGGUCAGUCUGUCUUAAAAGUUCGGGGCUUAACCCCGUGAUGGGAUGGAAACUGCCAAUCUAGAGUAUCGGAGAGGAAAGUGGAAUUCCUAGUGUAGCGGUGAAAUGCGUAGAUAUUAGGAAGAACACCAGUGGCGAAGGCGACUUUCUGGACGAAAACUGACGCUGAGGCGCGAAAGCCAGGGGAGCGAACGGGAUUAGAUACCCCGGUAGUCCUGGCCGUAAACGAUGGGUACUAGGUGUAGGAGGUAUCGACCCCUUCUGUGCCGGAGUUAACGCAAUAAGUACCCCGCCUGGGGAGUACGACCGCAAGGUUGAAACUCAAAGGAAUUGACGGGGGCCCGCACAAGCGGUGGAGUAUGUGGUUUAAUUCGACGCAACGCGAAGAACCUUACCAGGUCUUGACAUUGAUCGCAAUCUGCAGAAAUGCGGAGUUCUUCUUCGGAAGACGAGAAAACAGGUGGUGCACGGCUGUCGUCAGCUCGUGUCGUG